RNAcentral lists this ribosomal RNA (239 nucleotides) under uncultured bacterium. Its description in RNAcentral is "partial 16S ribosomal RNA". It matches the Rfam family "Bacterial small subunit ribosomal RNA", at positions 1264 to 1500 of the family's 1533-position model. The record is from RNAcentral.
CAAGCGGAUCUCUUAAAGCCGUUCUCAGUUCGGACUGUAGGCUGCAACUCGCCUACACGAAGCUGGAAUCGCUAGUAAUCGCGGAUCAGCACGCCGCGGUGAAUACGUUCCCGGGCCUUGUACACACUGCCCGUCACACCAUGAGAGUCUGUAACACCCAAAGCCGGUGGGAUAACCUUUAUAGGAGUCAGCCGUCUAAGGUAGGACAGAUGAUUAGGGUGAAGUCGUAACAAGGUAGC